UGCGCAGGCGGUCCGUUAAGACAGAUGUGAAAUCCCCGGGCUUAACCUGGGAACUGCAUUUGUGACUGGCGGACUCGAGUAUGGCAGAGGGGGGUAGAAUUCCACGUGUAGCAGUGAAAUGCGUAGAGAUGUGGAGGAAUACCGAUGGCGAAGGCAGCCCCCUGGGCCAAUACUGACGCUCAUGCACGAAAGCUGGGAGCAAAC
Molecule: ribosomal RNA, 204 nt
Filed under: uncultured bacterium
Lineage: Bacteria
Description: partial 16S ribosomal RNA
Rfam family: Bacterial small subunit ribosomal RNA
Source: RNAcentral